GAUCGGAUGGUCUAUCUUAAAAUAAAUCAAUAUUGAUAUUUUAUAUAGAGCGUUAAAGUUUUGCGAAGCCAGGGGGCGGGGUUACUUGACUGACAGUCUGGUCUGGAAUGAUUGACAGGUCCUAUGGAGGAGGCAGCAGAGACUCUGCUCUCCUCGUUUGGAUUAAUUCUGAUAUAAUAACUGUUUGUUUAUUUAUCGGUGAAGCAGCAGAACAUUUUCCACAGACAGUUUUCCUGACCGUUGGCUUGUUUUAACCAGUUUUCUACCUUCGGCUGAUUCUACCAGCAGACACUGAAAGGACUCUGAUAGUUCGUGCUUGGACAACUAUAUAUGACAGAGGAAAUCUUUCCAGGGAUACUUUAAAAUGAACCUCUGCUGUUGAUGCUGAUACUGUGACGACUGUCUUCAUCUCAGGUGUCUCAUUUUCACUGUGAGAAUCUUCUGAGUGAAGCCAGCAGAAGGAAAACCUCAUCUAGUUGUGAAGAAGGAGGCUGAUAGGACGACAUCCUCAGUGAGCCACUGAGCUUUCACUUACACAAGGACAGACCAACUCUCAGCAGUUUAUUAUUCUCUGUUUUAAUUAUUCAGGUGUUCCAUUUAUCACCUUUAACUUCAUCUCUGCUGUUGGAGCAGAAAUAGAAUCUAAAAAGUCCAUGUUAUUUAUAGCAGAUAUGCAGCAUUAUCUCUUUAUUAUACAGUCUAUGGUCUGACCCAUACAUAGAUAUUAAUAUCUAUGGCAGCUGCAGCUCCCAGUGAACAGGAGGAUUUUAUUAGAGGAAGUCAGACACAGUCACACAGAGAAACAUUAGACCUCACACUGAAACGGAGCUACAGCUCUGGGUCUUGUAGAAGAUGUAUUUUCAAAACUACAUGUGAUAAUCCGUGCCAGAGGAGACCUCAUUAGCACUUCCGCAAGGUCGGCUCACCUUUCCGGUCACUCCAGGAACGCUGUUGUCGAGUGAAAGUAGCAGUUCCUCCUUAAGGUCAGAGAUUGCAGCAUCUGAGGGCCUCUUCAAAAGAAGCCAUAGUUGAUGAAGGCGUUCUGGAGCAGGACCAGAAAGACCACGACCAAGCAGCCUUGAGAUCUUAGACAGCGUCUCCCUCAGGUCCCUCUCUAUCUCCCCACACAUCCACCAACCACUGGAACACAUCUCCAAAGUUCUGCUGGGCCAGCUCAGCUUCCCCUUAGAAGAAGUGCCGCCACCUACCAGAUGAAGGAGCCUUUUGAGAGGCAGCUGGCAUCGUGAUUGGACUGUACUUUGGUCUGUUCCAAUCCAGCUUCAGCUCCAGAGACGGCAGGCGGGACGAGUCAACGGAGGCCGGGUGGACGAAGGCAUGCAGCUGAGUACAAUCCAGAAAACAACUGAGGAGGAGUGCAGUGGCCCAGGGCCAGAACAAGCAGAGUAGCAUUGUAUGUCUCUUAGAAAACAUCAUAGUAUAGCCUUUGGUAUGAAAAAACACCAUCAUAUACAUCGUAUAUUUUACAAAUAACAAGUCAAAGGAAAGAGACAUACAUUGUAGAAUUGUAGUAAUUGUGGGCUGACUGAUUUACUGAUUAUCAGUAUUUUAUUUUUUACUGAUUUACGGUAAUAAAUACAUUUUAAAAUGGCGCUACUUUGGCUCUGAACCUUUAUCUACCUGUGGUCGCUCUUCUGGAGUGAUUUGAUUGGUUAUACGUCACGAAUAAAAGUCCUUUAACUUAACAUCUGUAAACAAAACAAAAACGUAUCAACAAAGUUAGAGUUUGUGUUCUGCUAAGUUUAACUCCAAGAUUUUAAAUGCUUUCAUUUACUGCAAAUGAAUAUCUACUCCAAAUGUGGCAGUAAUAAUCAUUAUCAGCCAUAAAAACCCACAAAACACCCCUCUAUACUUGAUCACACUUAGUACAGUCCGGUUCCCCCUUCUAUAAAUCUGCUUGGAAUCUUCCAUUUCCUGUUUGUCAAAGUGGCCUUCUACCUGGACAGGUUUUGUUGGAGCUCAUGCAACAAACAUUUUGGGUAACUGCACUUUAAUAUGGAUGGAUGACACUGAAUUAGAGUCUGUUUUCAUGAGACUGAGUUAAGAUGUGUAGCUCUGUCAUUAAAUAGGACAUUAUUUUUCAGAAUUCACAGAGAAAAGUCUGAAAUGUUUGCUAGGUUAGCGUCCCACAUGUUCUUUGGCUCAGCUAAAGCUAACUCUCUCCAACUUGUGGAUCUCUUGAGUUGCUUGUUGUUAAAAUAUCUUGCUUGAGGUGCUGAAGCUCAGAAAGUCUGAGAUGUUUGUUCAAACUAAGCUCAUUCUCAAGUCGUAUCUGAACUCUUUUGUUUGAACUUUCCCUAAACUUAGGAGUUAAUGACAGAGCAGCACAUCCAGACUCAGUCUCAUUUAUGUAGAGAUUAAACUUCAGUGUCAUUCAUUGAUGUUAAAGUGCAGUUUUUCAAAUGUUUGUUGCACAUGCUCCCGACCAAAGCAGUCCAGGUGGAAGACGAUGUGAAGAGAAAGCUCCAGAGGAUGAAUAUCACACAUUUACGUUGGAAAUAAAUGUCCUUUAAUUAGACAGUGUCAUGCAAAAGUUGAAUUUCCCUUUAAUGAUGUUCAAGUCUUUGUUGAAUGUUUUGUUGAUGUUGGUUUUUUAAUGUUUUCUGACACUCUGCCCCAAAGAUUAAAUGUUCUACGGCUCACAAGCUGCAACAAUUCA
Amphiprion ocellaris (clown anemonefish) is the source of this 2677-nucleotide long non-coding RNA. RefSeq lists it as uncharacterized. The record is from RefSeq and is a predicted model, not a curated record. NCBI's taxonomy places the organism in Eukaryota, Metazoa, Chordata, Actinopteri, Pomacentridae. The transcript has 4 exons.